AGAACGAACGCUGGCGGCAUGCCUAAUACAUGCAAGUCGAACGAAGGCUUCGGCCUUAGUGGCGCACGGGUGCGUAACGCGUGGGAAUCUGCCCCUUGGUUCGGAAUAACAGUUGGAAACGACUGCUAAUACCGGAUGAUGACGAAAGUCCAAAGAUUUAUCGCCAAGGGAUGAGCCCGCGUAGGAUUAGCUAGUUGGUGAGGUAAAGGCUCACCAAGGCGACGAUCCUAGCUGGUCUGAGAGGAUGAUCAGCCACACUGGGACUGAGACACGGCCAGACUCCUACGGGAGCAGCAGUAGGGAAUAUUGGACAAUGGGACGAAAGCCUGAUCCGAGCAAUGCCGCGUAGAGUGAGUGAGGUACCGUUAGGUUGUAAAGCUUACUUUACCCG
Molecule: ribosomal RNA, 391 nt
Filed under: uncultured soil bacterium
Lineage: Bacteria
Description: bacterial SSU rRNA
Rfam family: Bacterial small subunit ribosomal RNA
Source: RNAcentral